GGGUCAGUAGGUUGGUCGUGCCACCGGUACGUACUGGUCUCACUGAUUCCUCCUUCCUGAAGAACCGUAAUGCCAUUAAUUUGGUGUUGCGGGGAAACAGGACUGUUACUUUGAAAAAAUUAGAGUGUUUAAAGCAAGCUAACGCUUGAAUACAUUAGCAUGGAAUAAUGAAAUAGUACGAUCAAUCCUAUUUUGUUGGUUUCUAGGAUUGACGUA
This 216-nucleotide ribosomal RNA is filed under the name Glomeromycotina sp. RNAcentral describes it as "partial small subunit ribosomal RNA". The stretch from base 40 to 216 matches the Rfam family "Eukaryotic small subunit ribosomal RNA", at positions 686 to 864 of the family's 1831-position model. The record is from RNAcentral. Lineage: Eukaryota; Fungi; Glomeromycota.